GCCUGCUCUGAUACCAGUUGAAGGGAAGGGAACAGUUUUCCUCCAGAAUACCCAGAUUGUAUCUAAGAAUUUUCUUUAAUAUUCUAAUUAUUUAAGGAUCAAAUUUUUAUCUAAAUUAUAGUAGAACUAGAGAUUAAAUCUUAAAUUAUCUAAUAUAAACUUUUACAGAGGUCUGGAUAUGCAGACCCUCUACUUCGCAUGCACGUCAGACGCCG
Molecule: long non-coding RNA, 215 nt
Filed under: Elaeis guineensis (African oil palm)
Lineage: Eukaryota; Viridiplantae; Streptophyta; Magnoliopsida; Arecales; Arecaceae
Description: long non-coding RNA (EGUI_LNC067052)
Source: RNAcentral